AUUGAACGCUAGCGGGAUGCCUUACACAUGCAAGUCGAACGGCAGCACGGACUUCGGUCUGGUGGCGAGUGGCGAACGGGUGAGUAAUGUAUCGGAACGUGCCCAGUAGCGGGUGAUAAGUACUCGUACGAGUAGCUCAUACAGCAUACGCCUUACGGGGGUAAGGGGGGGAUCGCAAGACCUUACACUAUGGGAGCGGCCGAUAUAGGAUUAGCUAGUUGGUGGGGUAAAGGCCCACCAAGGCGACGAUCUGUAGCUGGUUUGAGAGGACGACCAGCCACACUGGGACUGAGACACGGCCCAGACUCCUACGGGAGGCAGCAAUGGGGAAUUUUGGACAAUGGGGGCAACCCUGAUCCAGCCAUCCCGCGUGUGCGAUGAAGGCCUUCGGGUUGUAAAGCACUUUUGGCAGGAAAGAAAUCGCAUGGGUUAAUACCCUGUGUGGAUGACGGUACCUGCAGAAUAAGCACCGGCUAACUACGUGCCAGCCGCCGCCGUAA
This 500-nucleotide ribosomal RNA is filed under the name uncultured bacterium. Its description in RNAcentral is "partial 16S ribosomal RNA". It matches the Rfam family "Bacterial small subunit ribosomal RNA", at positions 30 to 523 of the family's 1533-position model. The record is from RNAcentral.